GGGCGGAGUCUAACCAUGCAGUCGAACGGUAACAGGAAACAGCUUGCUGUUUUGCUGACGAGUGGCGGACGGGUGAGUAAUGUCUGGGAAACUGCCUGAUGGAGGGGGAUAACUACUGGAAACGGUAGCUAAUACCGCAUAACGUCGCAAGACCAAAGAGGGGGACCUUCGGGCCUCUUGCCAUCGGAUGUGCCCAGAUGGGAUUAGCUAGUAGGUGGGGUAACGGCUCACCUAGGCGACGAUCCCUAGCUGGUCUGAGAGGAUGACCAGCCACACUGGAACUGAGACACGGUCCAGACUCCUACGGGAGGCAGCAGUGGGGAAUAUUGCACAAUGGGCGCAAGCCUGAUGCAGCCAUGCCGCGUGUAUGAAGAAGGCCUUCGGGUUGUAAAGUACUUUCAGCGGGGAGGAAGGGAGUAAAGUUAAUACCUUUGCUCAUUGACGUUACCCGCAGAAGAAGCACCGGCUAACUCCGUGCCAGCAGCCGCGGUAAUACGGAGGGUGCAAGCGUUAAUCGGAAUUACUGGGCGUAAAGCGCACGCAGGCGGUUUGUUAAGUCAGAUGUGAAAUCCCCGGGCUCAACCUGGGAACUGCAUCUGA
This 600-nucleotide ribosomal RNA is filed under the name Escherichia coli. RNAcentral describes it as "bacterial SSU rRNA". It matches the Rfam family "Bacterial small subunit ribosomal RNA", at positions 40 to 630 of the family's 1533-position model. Lineage: Bacteria; Pseudomonadati; Pseudomonadota; Gammaproteobacteria; Enterobacterales; Enterobacteriaceae. The record is from RNAcentral.